Long non-coding RNA from Pipistrellus kuhlii (Kuhl's pipistrelle), 116 nucleotides. RefSeq lists it as uncharacterized. The transcript has 3 exons. The record is from RefSeq and is a predicted model, not a curated record. NCBI's taxonomy places the organism in Eukaryota, Metazoa, Chordata, Mammalia, Chiroptera, Vespertilionidae.
GCGCUGACGUUUCCUGAGCGGCCAGCAGAAGAGCUCUCAGGACCUGCUCCUGCCCAGACUCAGACACCGGCUGUUCUGGAGCCCACUUUUAUUGUACUUGCUGCGCUGCCACUGGA